UACGUAGGGGGCGAGCGUUGUCCGAAGUUACUGGGCGUAAAGAGUGCGUAGGCGGCUUGACAAGUUGCAUCUGAAAGGCGGCAGCUCAACUGACGAGUGCGGUGCAAGACUGUAAAGCUUGAGGCAAGCAAAAGAAUGUGGAACUCCGAGUGUAGCGGUGGAAUGCGUAGAGAUUCGGAAGAACACCCAUGGCGAAGGCAGCAUUCUGGGCUUGACCUGACGCUGAGGCACGAAAGCCAGGGGAGCGAACGGG
This 253-nucleotide ribosomal RNA is filed under the name uncultured bacterium. RNAcentral describes it as "partial 16S ribosomal RNA". It matches the Rfam family "Bacterial small subunit ribosomal RNA", at positions 524 to 776 of the family's 1533-position model. The record is from RNAcentral.